Clostridium sp. CAG:43 is the source of this 84-nucleotide regulatory RNA element. It matches the Rfam family "S10-Clostridia ribosomal protein leader". Lineage: Bacteria; Bacillati; Bacillota; Clostridia; Eubacteriales; Clostridiaceae. The record is from Rfam.
UGAUAGCGAUGAAACGAGAGGUUGCUGCUUAUGAUAAGCAGGUUAUUCCGCGGAGCGAAUGUCAAGUUAGGAAACUGGCGACAA